This 468-nucleotide ribosomal RNA is filed under the name uncultured bacterium. RNAcentral's name for it is "partial 16S ribosomal RNA". It matches the Rfam family "Bacterial small subunit ribosomal RNA", at positions 28 to 507 of the family's 1533-position model. The record is from RNAcentral.
GACGAACGCUGGCGGCGUGCUUAACACAUGCAAGUCGAACGGAAAGGCCCUGCUUUUGUGGGGUGCUCGAGUGGCGAACGGGUGAGUAACACGUGAGUAACCUGCCCUUGACUUUGGGAUAACUUCAGGAAACUGGGGCUAAUACCGGAUAGGAGCUCCUGCUGCAUGGUGGGGGUUGGAAAGUUUCGGCGGUUGGGGAUGGACUCGCGGCUUAUCAGCUUGUUGGUGGGGUAGUGGCUUACCAAGGCUUUGACGGAUAGCCGGCCUGAGAGGGUGACCGGCCACAUUGGGACUGAGAUACGGCGCAGACGCGUACGGGAGGCAGCAGUGGGGAAUAUUGCACAGUGGGCGGAAGCCUGAUGCAGCGACGCCGCGUGCGGGAUGACGGCCUUCGGGUGGUAAACCGCUUUCGCCUGUGACGAAGCGUGAGUGACGGUAAUGGGUAAAGAAGCACCGGCUAACUACGUG